UUAUUAGGUAGAGGAGCUGUUAAUAAUAGUAGUUAUGAAGAGCUGGCAAGCGAAGAAACAUGACGAAAGGAUUAAUAGCCGAAGAAAUAAAAAAGCAAAGUUUAUUUCUGGGGAUACAUAUAAUAUGUGUAUCACUGUCACGUAAGUGGAGAGCUACGAAAAAU
RNAcentral lists this non-coding RNA (164 nucleotides) under Clostridium chauvoei. Its description in RNAcentral is "Lysine sequence". It matches the Rfam family "Lysine riboswitch aptamer". Rfam says of the family: Riboswitches are metabolite binding domains within certain messenger RNAs that serve as precision sensors for their corresponding targets. Allosteric rearrangement of mRNA structure is mediated by ligand binding, and this results in modulation of gene expression. The record is from RNAcentral. RNAcentral also lists the same sequence under 1 other name. Lineage: Bacteria; Bacillati; Bacillota; Clostridia; Eubacteriales; Clostridiaceae.